RNAcentral lists this long non-coding RNA (626 nucleotides) under Setaria italica (foxtail millet). Its description in RNAcentral is "long non-coding RNA (SITA_LNC006981)". Lineage: Eukaryota; Viridiplantae; Streptophyta; Magnoliopsida; Poales; Poaceae. The record is from RNAcentral.
CCGAACAAGCCGUUUUUCCCCUCAAAAGUCAGUUUUUUAUAUCUUCACAAAUAUCUAUUUGGAAAAAGUUCACAUUCUCCCCUUGUCUCUUCAACGAGUCUAGAAUCCAACCCCCAAAGUACGAACACCCUACACUAAACAAACCAAACCAGAUACGCAACCUCCGAUCCCACUCCAGGAGGUUUUGGUCCGCGCUGGCGUCGACGUCGGCCCCACUCCAUCCACGAGAUACGCGACCCCCGAUCCCACUCCAGGGCGGUUUUUGGUCCGCGCUGGCGUCCACGUCAGCUGCCACUCCAUCUACGCGACCUCGCCGGCGACGAGAGGGAGUGGCGCCGCGCGUUCCGGCGUUUGCCCGCUCCGGCCGCGUCCGCGUCGGCCACCCCCGCGCUGGAGUCCACGACCCACCGGCGGAAUCAGCACGCGGGGCUCAGCUAUUUGUCGGCUGGCGGCGGAAUCAGCUGGAGGCCGAGCUCUGCCUUCCCCGCUCUAGUCACCACGGCCUUCCACCCCGCGCCGACGUCGACGGCCUUCGGAGAAGCCUCAGCGGCGUGUCCGAGUUCCGGCGGACACCAGCGGCGGCCGGCCGAGCUCCGAUGGAUAGCAGCGCCGCUCGGGCAAGCUCC